UUGCACAGUAAACACCCAAGUGUGCUUUAUAAUUUGCUUGGCCUGGACUCUGGUAAAGUCUGUUCUUUCCCUCUGCAUUGAAAGGAAUAUUGACUAUCCUUUUAAAUGUAUUCAGAAAAUCAGCACAUCA
Nannospalax galili (Upper Galilee mountains blind mole rat) is the source of this 130-nucleotide small nucleolar RNA. The record is from Ensembl. NCBI's taxonomy places the organism in Eukaryota, Metazoa, Chordata, Mammalia, Rodentia, Spalacidae.